Molecule: ribosomal RNA, 330 nt
Filed under: uncultured eukaryote
Lineage: Eukaryota
Description: partial 18S ribosomal RNA
Rfam family: Eukaryotic small subunit ribosomal RNA
Source: RNAcentral
CCCUUAGAUGUUCUGGGCCGCACGCGCGCUACACUGUCGGAUUCAGCGAGUCUUAACCUUAACCGAAAGGUUUGGGUAAUCUUUUGAAACAUCGUCGUGCUGGGGAUAGAUCAUUGCAAUUUUUGAUCUUGAACGAGGAAUUCCUAGUAAGCGCGAGUCAUCAGCUCGCGUUGAUUACGUCCCUGCCCUUUGUACACACCGCCCGUCGCUACUACCGAUUGAAUGGUUUAGUGAGGACUCCUGAUUGGCGCCGCCGCCCCGGCAACGGAGCAGCGGACUGCCGAAAAGUUGUUCAAACUUGAUCAUUUAGAGGAAGUAAAAGUCGUAACA